Molecule: ribosomal RNA, 577 nt
Filed under: uncultured bacterium
Lineage: Bacteria
Description: partial 16S ribosomal RNA
Rfam family: Bacterial small subunit ribosomal RNA
Source: RNAcentral
UGGGGAAUUUUGGACAAUGGGCGAAAGCCUGAUCCAGCAAUGCCGCGUGUGUGAAGAAGGCCUUCGGGUUGUAAAGCACUUUUGUCCGGAAAGAAAUCCUUGGCUCUAAUACAGUCGGGGGAUGACGGUACCGGAAGAAUAAGCACCGGCUAACUACGUGCCAGCAGCCGCGGUAAUACGUAGGGUGCAAGCGUUAAUCGGAAUUACUGGGCGUAAAGCGUGCGCAGGCGGUUUGCUAAGACCGAUGUGAAAUCCCCGGGCUCAACCUGGGAACUGCAUUGGUGACUGGCAGGCUAGAGUAUGGCAGAGGGGGGUAGAAUUCCACGUGUAGCAGUGAAAUGCGUAGAGAUGUGGAGGAAUACCGAUGGCGAAGGCAGCCCCCUGGGCCAAUACUGACGCUCAUGCACGAAAGCGUGGGGAGCAAACAGGAUUAGAUACCCUGGUAGUCCACGCCCUAAACGAUGUCAACUAGUUGUUGGGGAUUCAUUCCUUAGUAACGUAGCUAACGCGUGAAGUUGACCGCCUGGGGAGUACGGUCGCAAGAUUAAAACUCAAAGGAAUUGACGGGGUCAAGCUG